GGGGCGCCAGGCGCGAAAACUUUACAAUGCUGGCAACAGCGAUAAGGGAACCUCGAGUGCCAGGUUACAAAUCUGGCUGUCGAGAUGCCUAAAAAGCAUUUCAUAGCAAGGGCCGGGCAAGACCGGUGCCAGCCGCCGCGGUAACACCGGCGGCUCGAGUGGUAACCGUUAUUAUUGGGUCUAAAGGGUCUGUAGCCGGCCGGAUAAGUCUCUUGAGAAAUCUGGCAGCUUAACUGUCAGGCUUUCAGGAGAUACUGUCUGGCUCGAGGCCGGGAGAGGUGAGAGGUACUUCAGGGGUAGGGGUGAAAUCUUGUAAUCCUUGAAGGACCACCAGUGGCGAAGGCGUCUCACCAGAACGGACCUGACGGCAAGGGACGAAAGCUAGGGGCACGAACCGGAUUAGAUACCCGGGUAGUCCUAGCCGUAAACGAUACUCGCUAGGUGUCGGCCACGGUGCGACCGUUGUCGGUGCCGUAGGGAAGCCGUGAAGCGAGCCACCUGGGAAGUACGGCCGCAAGGCUGAAACUUAAAGGAAUUGGCGGGGGAGCACCACAACGGGUGGAGCUUGCGGUUUAAUUGGAUUCAACGCCGGAAAUCUUACCGGGACCGACAGCAAUAUGAAGGCCAGGCUGAAGACUUUGCCGGAUUAGCUGAGAGGUGGUGCAUGGCCGUCGUCAGUUCGUACUGUGAAGCAUCCUGUUAAGUCAGGCAACGAGCGAGACCCACGCCCACAGUUGCCAGCGUACUCUCCGGAGUGACGGGUACACUGUGGGGACCGCCGCUGCUAAAGCGGAGGAAGGAAUGGGCAACGGUAGGUCAGUAUGCCCCGAAUAUCCCGGGCUACACGCGAGCUACAAUGGUUGGUACAAUGGGUAUCUACCCCGAAAGGGGACGGAAAUCUCCUAAAACCAAUCUUAGUUCGGAUUGAGGGCUGCAACUCGCCCUCAUGAAGCUGGAAUCCGUAGUAAUCGCGUUUCAACAGAACGCGGUGAAUACGUCCCUGCUCCUUGUACACACCGCCCGUCA
RNAcentral lists this ribosomal RNA (1026 nucleotides) under uncultured Methanosarcina sp. Its description in RNAcentral is "bacterial SSU rRNA". It matches the Rfam family "Archaeal small subunit ribosomal RNA", at positions 329 to 1355 of the family's 1478-position model. Lineage: Archaea; Methanobacteriati; Methanobacteriota; Methanomicrobia; Methanosarcinales; Methanosarcinaceae. The record is from RNAcentral.